AGCAGUAGCCGCGGUAAUGCGUAGGUGGCAAGCGUUGUCCGGAAUUAUUGGGCGUAAAGGGCUCGCAGGCGGUUUCUUAAGUCUGAUGUGAAAGCCCCCGGCUCAACCGGGGAGGGUCAUUGGAAACUGGGAAACUUGAGUGCAGAAGAGGAGAGUGGAAUUCCACGUGUAGCGGUGAAAUGCGUAGAGAUGUGGAGGAACACCAGUGGCGAAGGCGACUCUCUGGUCUGUAACUGACGCUGAGGAGCGAAAGCGUGGGGAGCGAACAGGAUUAGAUACCCCUGUAGUCCCUGUCUCUUAUAC
RNAcentral lists this ribosomal RNA (303 nucleotides) under uncultured bacterium. Its description in RNAcentral is "partial 16S ribosomal RNA". It matches the Rfam family "Bacterial small subunit ribosomal RNA", at positions 507 to 807 of the family's 1533-position model. The record is from RNAcentral.